Molecule: ribosomal RNA, 125 nt
Filed under: Klebsiella pneumoniae
Lineage: Bacteria; Pseudomonadati; Pseudomonadota; Gammaproteobacteria; Enterobacterales; Enterobacteriaceae
Also listed under: 1 other name
Description: partial 23S ribosomal RNA
Rfam family: Bacterial large subunit ribosomal RNA
Source: RNAcentral
GAGUUCUCCCUGAGACUUUAAGUCUCCUGAAGGAACGUUAAAGACGAUGACGUUGAUAGGCCGGGUGUGUAAGCGCAGCGAUGCGUUGAGCUAACCGGUACUAAUGAACCGUGAGGCUUAACCUU